CCUACGGGAGGCAGCAGUGAGGAAUAUUGGUCAAUGGACGAGAGUCUGAACCAGCCAAGUCGCGUGAAGGAUGACUGCCCUAUGGGUUGUAAACUUCUUUUAUAUGGGAAUAAAAUGUUCCACGUGUGGGAUUUUGUAUGUACCAUAUGAAUAAGGAUCGGCUAACUCCGUGCCAGCAGCCGCGGUAAUACGGAGGAUCCGAGCGUUAUCCGGAUUUAUUGGGUUUAAAGGGAGCGUAGGUGGAUUGUUAAGUCAGUUGUGAAAGUUUGCGGCUCAACCGUAAAAUUGCAGUUGAAACUGGCAGUCGUGAGUACAGUAGAGGUGGGCGGAAUGCGUGGUGUAGCGGUGAAAUGCUUAGAUAUCACGAAGAACUCCGAUUGCGAAGGCAGCUCACUGGACUGCAACUGACACUGAGGCUCGAAAGUGUGGGUAUCAAACAGGAUUAGAUACCCGAGUAGUC
RNAcentral lists this ribosomal RNA (460 nucleotides) under uncultured bacterium. RNAcentral describes it as "partial 16S ribosomal RNA". It matches the Rfam family "Bacterial small subunit ribosomal RNA", at positions 338 to 795 of the family's 1533-position model. The record is from RNAcentral.